Molecule: ribosomal RNA, 467 nt
Filed under: uncultured bacterium
Lineage: Bacteria
Description: partial 16S ribosomal RNA
Rfam family: Bacterial small subunit ribosomal RNA
Source: RNAcentral
AACAAACGCUGGCGGCGUGCCUAAUACAUGCAAGUCGAACGAGUAGCAAUACUAGUGGCGCACGGGUGAGGAAUACAUGGGUAAUCUGCCUUCAAGUUUGGGAUAACCAGUCGAAAGAUUGGCUAAUACCGGAUAAGACCACAGGAUCUGCGGAUCUAGGGGUUAAAGGUUUUUCGCUUGAAGAUGAGCCCAUGUGGGAUUAGCUAGUUGGUGGGGUAAUGGCCUACCAAGGCGACGAUCCCUAACUGGUCUUAGAGGAUGAUCAGUCACACUGGAACUGAGACACGGUCCAGACUCCUACGGGAGGCAGCAGUAGGGAAUAUUGCGCAAUGGGGGAAACCCUGACGCAGCGACGCCGCGUGAGUGAUGAAGGCCUUCGGGUCGUAAAGCUCUGUCGUAUGGGACUAACAAAAUGGAGGUACCAUGCAAGAAAGGAUCGGCUAACUUCGUGCCAGCCGCCGCUGUAA